AGAAAAAGAGGACCACUCAAAGAAGGAUGGAGCUGACAGUGACCAUGAUGAUUCAGCUGAAAAUGACAGCAAAAGAUCAGGAAAGGACAAUGACAAGAAACACCGAAAGCGGCAUCAGAGUGCCCAUGAUAGCUUGGAUGAAAAUGAGAAAGAUCGAUCUAAGAACCCCCAUAGACAUAACAGCGAUCGCAAAAAACCAAGAAGGGUAUGCUGAGUUUUGUUAUCUCGUGCAUAAGAAUUUUGUCACCUCUAAGUUUGUUGAUUUGUUAUCAAUUGUGAAUGCUAAUACAACAAUUCUUUAUUCUUAUUUUCUAAUAUAUGCUUUGCUUGAUGUAGCUUGCAUCAACACCUGAAUCUGAAAAUGAGAGCAGGCAUAAGAGACAUAGGAGGGAUAAUCGUAAUGGUUCUCGUAAAAAUGGUGAUCAUGAAGAUCUUGAAGAUGGGGAAUAUGGUGGGGAAAGUCGGUAGACAUCUUAUUCUGCAGGUUUCUCAUUAUUUCCAUUUUUCUCAUAUUUGGGGUAUUCCCAUAUUUG
This 533-nucleotide long non-coding RNA is filed under the name Citrus x clementina. RNAcentral's name for it is "Citrus clementina (C. clementina) long non-coding RNA (CCLE_LNC000729)". Lineage: Eukaryota; Viridiplantae; Streptophyta; Magnoliopsida; Sapindales; Rutaceae. The record is from RNAcentral.